GUUGCGAUGGUCGAGUGGUUUAGGCGUUGGACUAGAAAUCCAAUGCGAUCUUAACGCGCAGGUUCGAAUCCUGCCAGCAACG
This is a non-coding RNA of Nematostella vectensis (starlet sea anemone), 82 nucleotides long. NCBI's taxonomy places the organism in Eukaryota, Metazoa, Cnidaria, Anthozoa, Actiniaria, Edwardsiidae. The record is from Rfam.